UUUUUGUACCCUUAAAUCCUGUGGCUUAUUUGUAUUGCUAUUAUGCAUAGGAACCUUAGCUGUGAACAAGACUCCAUUGUGCAUCCGGUUUAUAAAUACUGGAGGAAAAGAAAGUCUUCCCCCAUCGGGAGUCUAGGCAUACGAUGAGAGACGUUCAGUACGCUUCUGUGGAGAGCGCAAGCAAACAAAAGGAAAAAACGGAUCCCUCGGAGAACUGGUAGUCUUAGAAUGCCCAUCAUUCCCUUGUGCACCUUGUACAAAGUCUUUUGUAGGGCAUUGCAAUGAAAGGCUCAUAUUAAAGACAAGGAGGUGCUUUUGCAGAAGUUUAUGGAAGCUCCUGCUAAGGGCCCAGGUCAGGUGCAGAUAAAAUAUGAAGAUCCUUAUUUGAAGACGUAAUAUGUAAGGAGUAAAGGCUGAUCGAAGAUAGGAUCUAUUCUCAGGGUAGUGAAUGAGAAAUGAGAGGUCAGGUGGCAAAAACCUCAGAAAACAGUGAAGGAGAUUUCCCAUGAAGUUAUGUGAUGUUAUAAGAGACUGGGAACUCUUGGGUCAUUGCGGGGGUUGUCCGUUUACUGCUUUGCCAAUAUUCAGUGCAGUUUGCAGUACUGCCAUUUCUCUUUAAUUUAGACUACUUGUUUGUCUGUUCAUUUACCUUAGGCUUUAUGAAUUAGCAUGCAAAUUGUAGCACAUACUGAUAUUUAACUUUCUGUUGUGUAUUUAGCUUAUCUAUUUAUUUCCCAGAACGCUCAGCUCUUUCUACGUUGUUAAGGUCAGUGGUCGUUAGUUACAUCUAUCCAUCUCGUCUUAACUCUGGACAGGCCGACAUGAAGCUAUUUGUUUAACCAUUUCGGUAUCCCCGUCACCCUCUUGCCGUUGAUUGAGUCUGCUGAAGAGACGUACAUCUAUGUGGCCACACUUGAUUUGUUGCAGGUCAUUUUUUUUCCCCCGUACAAUUCUUCCUUGUCAUCGGUGAACUGCUUCAUCUCGGCGCUGCGCUCUCCCUUCAGCUCAUGUGUUGACCUCCGCCGUUGCCAGACGCACCAGAUGGAAGCAAAGUUGUGUGCCCAUUGUGCCACCGAUUGCAUCGCAGCCCAGGACACUGUGUGCCAGCUGGCUCCUAAGUGA
RNAcentral lists this long non-coding RNA (1122 nucleotides) under Struthio camelus australis. RNAcentral describes it as "lncRNA (ENSSCUG00000015194.1)". Lineage: Eukaryota; Metazoa; Chordata; Aves; Struthioniformes; Struthionidae. The record is from RNAcentral.